This 322-nucleotide ribosomal RNA is filed under the name uncultured Sandonidae. RNAcentral describes it as "SSU rRNA". The stretch from base 115 to 322 matches the Rfam family "Eukaryotic small subunit ribosomal RNA", at positions 747 to 955 of the family's 1831-position model. Lineage: Eukaryota; Cercozoa; Glissomonadida; Viridiraptoridae. The record is from RNAcentral.
GAUUUCUGAACAUGUAUUCUUAACCGGCCACGGUUUCGUGUGUUAGUGUUGGGACUACUGUUCAUCCUUUUACUCUAUACUCUCUUAUCUUAACUGAUUGGAUGGUAUAGGUAAAUCUUUUACUUUGAACAAAUUAGAGUGUUUCAAGCAGGCUAUAUGCUAUGAAUACAUUAGCAUGGAAUAAUGAUUUAGGACUUCGGUUCUAUUUUGUUGGUUUCUACUACUGAAGUAAUGAUUGAUAGGGACAGUUGGGGGUGCUAGUAUUCAGUGCGAAGAGGUGAAAUUCUUGGAUCCACUGAAGACUAACUUAAGCGAAAGCAUU